Non-coding RNA from Mycena vulgaris, 95 nucleotides. The record is from the annotation of a GenBank genome assembly. Lineage: Eukaryota; Fungi; Basidiomycota; Agaricomycetes; Agaricales; Mycenaceae.
GUCUUCGUGGAGUAAUGAAUUUCACUCCCGUCCCAUUUACAAGCUAUCUGCCAGAUUAUUUGGGAGAGCUGGUGGUUCGAAUCCACCCGAAGACA